This 371-nucleotide ribosomal RNA is filed under the name uncultured bacterium. RNAcentral describes it as "bacterial SSU rRNA". It matches the Rfam family "Bacterial small subunit ribosomal RNA", at positions 525 to 896 of the family's 1533-position model. The record is from RNAcentral.
ACGUAGGGUGCAAGCGUUAAUCGGAAUUACUGGGCGUAAAGCGUGCGCAGGCGGCUUUGCAAGACAGGUGUGAAAUCCCCGGGCUUAACCUGGGAACUGCAUUUGUGACUGCAAGGCUGGAGUGCGGCAGAGGGGGAUGGAAUUCCGCGUGUAGCAGUGAAAUGCGUAGAUAUGCGGAGGAACACCGAUGGCGAAGGCAAUCCCCUGGGCCUGCACUGACGCUCAUGCACGAAAGCGUGGGGAGCAAACAGGAUUAGAUACCCUGGUAGUCCACGCCCUAAACGAUGUCAACUGGUUGUUGGACGGCUUGCUGUUCAGUAACGAAGCUAACGCGUGAAGUUGACCGCCUGGGGAGUACGGCCGCAAGGUUG